CAGACCAAAUCCAUUCUCUGGGAGAAAGGCUGGCAUUUAAAAAAGUCAUUAGUUUCCAGCAAGAAGGUUUUAAAGGUUGGUUUCCUUUCUUUUCACUCAUUUGCUGGGGCAAAGCUUACAAGUUGUGAGUUACAGUUGCUCGAGUUGAAUUUAUACACUAUUUCUGCCAUUUGCAUGUAUCUCACUGGAUGCUAGGUCUUUAACGCAACUUGUUGAAAGAUGCUGAAUGUGCAACGGUGCUAAAAUGUUUGCGGUCAAACUGAUGCUGGGCUGUGUAUGUUCUCUGUUUAGGGAAGAGAUGAAAUCUAUCUUUUAGAAACAGCCCCUCUAUUCCUUCAGAUAUAUGUUAUUGUUUAAAUGUGUGAAGUUUACAUUUCACUUAAUUCCGUGCUCACUGUCUUUAUCCACUCACUCAUUCAUAGUAUGUAUUAUGUUCCAGACACUGCUCUGGAGAUCUGGAGUGGGACGAUGAACAGGGCAGUGGUUGGGUCAUCCCAGGAAAACCCGGGAGAGACCCGGGGAACAAACCUCGCCUCUCUGAGGUCUGAGACUGGGGGAGAGGAGAUGGACAGAAAGCUUCUGGGAGGAAGUGACAGGAGGCCUGCAGAACGACCCAGUGAAGAGUAAGGGAAAAGGGUGGACGCAGAAGGAACUCCUGAUAUGUAGGCCCUGAGACUUGAAGGGCGGUGUGGGUUUGAAACUCAAGAGUAGGAAGAUGAGUAAAGCUGUAGCUAGGAAGACUCGGGCGUUACAGUGGCGAAGAAAAAAGACAAGUCUGGAAAAGCCAACAGGAGCCAGAUCGUGAAGACUUUAUAAAACUAUGUAGUAAAUGUAUUAUGUGUAUGAAUUAUACACUUAUAUCCCGUCGCAUUGGGUUUUGAGGUGGGUGGAAAAUUUUUGUUAACUAAUCCGUGCCUGGGGAACAACUGUACGUUUAUUCCUUUCCACAUAUUCUUAAAUGCUUUUAUCAGUUUAAUGCUUCUAUCAAUUUAAUGUUAUAAUCCAAACAAUCACCAUUUACCUUAGGAAAUUCUUUUUUUUUUCUUUUAAGAUUUUCUUUUGUUUUUUAAUUUUUUUUUAAUGUUUAUUCGUUUUUGAAAGACAGAGAGAGGCAGAGCACAAGCAGGGGUGGGGCAGAGAGAGAGACGCAGAAUCUGAAGCAGGCUCCAGGCUCUGAGCUGUCAGCAGAGCCCGACGCGCGGCUUGAACUCGGGAACCGUGAGAUCAUGACCUGAGCUGAAGUCAGAUGCUCAACUGACUGAGCCACCCAGGCGCCCCAAGAUUUUAUUUUUAAGUAAUCUCUACACCCAAGUUGGGGCUCUGACUUAGAACCCCAAAAUCAAGAGUCACAUGUUCCACUGACUGAGCCAACCAGGUGUCCCAGGAAAUUCUUUCACAGUCUAAUGAGCACCCUUUUGGGUAUAUAUUUACUAAAUCAUUUGCUGUUAGUUAAUAUUUAAAGGACACCAUUAAAUGAAUUUUGUUUUUUAAGUUUAUUUAUUUUGAGAGAGAGAGAGAGGAAGGGGCAGAGAGACAGAACACAAGUGGAGGAGGGGCAGAGACAGAGGGAAAGAGAAUUCCUGACAGUGCAGAGCCUGAUGCGGGGCUCAAACCCACGAACCUGUGAGAUCAUGACCUAAGCUGAAAUCAAGAGUUGGACACUUCACUGAUUAAGCCACCCAGGCACCCCACCAUUAAAUGAUUUUUAAGGUUCCUUUUAACUUCAAAAUUCAUACCUAACUUUCAAAAUUCAGAUUUUACCUGAAACUCACAAUAUUUUAUCCUCUCAAAGAUAUUGGAGAGCACUGAAGAUACACUAUUAAGUACUGUAAUUAUCUAUAACUACAAUUAAACUAUUGUCAGUAUGAUAUUAACAAUGUUGUCAUUAUCUAAGAAAUUGUAAGCCUUGCGUUUACAUGACACCUUUUGUUAGUGACGGGUUUCAAAGAACAUUUUACAGCUACAGUUGAAUGUACCAUCAGUAAAUUGAUUGAAAGGAAGGAUCCUUCUUAAUUGCUGUAAGGAUAAGACAUAUACCCAAGGACACCCCAAGGAACUGCGAGAGUCAGUCUUAUCCAUUCUGUUUCCACACACUUAGGUUUCUAUUACUCUUCAGAAUGACCUUUAUUAACUGAAUCAUUAAAAUCCAAUAAACAUAAACUCUUCAGACCUCACAACUGGUUCAUACUCUGGCCAUGGGCAGAGGAGGACAGGGGCUACCACUAUUAUACAGAAUAAUAAUAAAUCAAUGAGCCGAGAAAUGACUCCCCAGGGUAAUGGCAAAUUAAGUUCACAACCUUGGGCUGUUCAGAGUGGUUUUGGCUCUUGGCUCACACAUUUAUAUCUUUAAUUAUUUUCUUCCUAAACUAACUACACUGUUGGAAAGAUAACCCACAUAUGAAAUAACACGGGAAAUAUACAUCAAAUUUUUUUCUUGAUUUGUUUUUAGAAAAUAUUGAAGUUCAACAGUACUGUCUCUUUCCUAAUUUCCUAGUGAGUGACAAUACCAAAAGGUAGCUUUGGGGUCCUUACCCUGGCUUUCAUGAUCUUUCCUAACCCCACCAAAUCACCCUAAGCAGACACACAAUCGGUGUUUAUCAAAUGCAACAUCAAGAUAAGCCCCCAGCUCCCACUUAGGACCCUGUUGAACUGCCUACUCUCUGUGUAAAAAAACUGGGGUCCAGGUUAGACCAGGCAGCAGCUGACUGACACAUACCUGCCCUUUAAAAGAAGUGCUCAAUGGGGAUCUAAGUUCUUCCAAUGACUAAGAGACUGAGGCAUUCGCUUAAAGGACUGAAGCCUUCUCCAAACCUGUUUUUCUACUGGUCUAUCAUCUUUGAUGGGAUGACACCAUCUUCUCAGUCAUUCCAGCUGGAAAUGCAAGAGUCAUCCUUUACUCCUCCGUUCCACUCACUACCCCUCGCACCACCCCACCCACCAGCGUGCCUGUUUAUUGCACCUUUAAAAUACACCCGAACGUGCACCUUCCCCUCCCUGUUGGAAUCACCGGAUUCCAAGCCACCAUCUUGCCAAAGCCAUGAACGGAGCCUUCCCUGAUAUCUGCAGUUCCUCUCCUCUGCCCCGUCUGUGCUCUACCUGGAAGCCAGAGUGACCGCUUCAAAAUAACAUAUUACCUCGUGCCACUCUUUUGCCAAAAGCCCUCUAGAGUUGUCGUAAUGAUCUAGUUGCUUCUUCAAACUUACCAGGUGUAUGAUAGAUAAUUAUGCCUCAAGCCUGUGGGUGUUUUACUCCCUUAAACAUAACAAGCUCCUUUCAGGGCGGUGAGUCUUUGCACAAACUUUUCUCCCCUCCUGUUCUGAGGGUGUUCCGACAGGUCUGACUCAACAACUUCUGGUCUAAGCUUAGCCAUCUCCUCCUUUUCUUCUUCUUUUUUUUUUUUUUUUUAAGAUUUCUUUUUAAGUAAUCUUUAUACCCAACGCAGGGCUCGAACUCAAAAAAUCCUGAGCUCAAGAGUCACAGGCUUUACUGACUGAGCCAGCCAGGCGCUCUAUAGCCGUCCCCUCAUUGAAUCCCUCCCUUACACCCUAAAGUAGGUAGUGCCCCCUUCCUCAUGUUAUUCCUACCUUUGCGGUUUUUCUCUUCCUGAUCGCAAUUGUAAUUCUUGUGUUAAUUUAAAAAAAAAAAAUCUGUUUUCUCCACCAGAUUGUAGGAUUGUGGAAAAGGGCCCUGCCUGCCAUUCUGGCCCUGGUGCCUGACGGGAAGUAAGCCCCGAAGAAGCAUUUAUUGAAUGGCUGGCACGGCUGUUAACAGCUGAAUGCCUUAUCUAACUUUAUUUCCUUGAGAACGAGGUGUAGUUAAAACCAAAAGCCAUUUUGCUCUGCCACAGAAAGGGCUGUGCUCCAGAGGAAUCUGAAGUGGAGAUUGUUUCAGGUCAAGUUCAUUCAACUCAGGCGCUUGUAAAUGUUAGCUUGGUUACACACACGGCCUUCCUUUUCACCAGCCUCAAGGAGACGUUUCGAGAAUCUCAUUUUAUCCAAUAAAAUUAAGGAAACGGGCAAGCCAUCUUAUAUUUGAGACCAAAGGCUCCCCAGAUCAUCCACCCAGCAAAAUCUGCUCACUGCCAUGAGAUACUGGUGUGUUCAUUACCUAAGAGACUGGUACGAAUUUAACAGUAAUUACAUAAGCCCAGGAUCGUUUUUUUAAAAAAUCUGUUUAGCAGGGUUUUUUUUUCUCAAGUAGUCUUGACCCCUAAAGAAUAUUAAUUCCAUCAAUUAGGUUAUAAUUUAAAUAUUAUCAUUAAGAAAUGCACAUAUCCCUCUCUCUCUGCCCCUCCCCCUCUCAUGCUCUGUCUCUCCAAAAGAAAUAAAUGUUAAAAAAAAUUUAAAAAAAGGAAAGAGGGGCGCCUGGGUGGCGCAGUCGGUUAAGCGUCCGACUUCAGCCAGGUCACGAUCUCGCGGUCCGUGAGUUCGAGCCCCGCGUCGGGCUCUGGGCUGAUGGCUCAGAGCCUGGAGCCUGUUUCCGACUCUGUGUCUCCCUCUCUCUCUGCCCCUCCCCCGUUCAUGCUCUGUCUCUCGCUGUCCCAAAAAUAAAUAAACGUUGAAAAAAAAAAAUUAAAAAAAAAAAGGAAAGAAAUGCUUAUAUAAACCAAGUUCAAAACUUACGAAAAAAAAAAACAAUUUCAAAGCAACAUCUUUUAAAUAGCUGUAGUUUCAAAUCCCCACCAAAAGGCUAAAAUCAUGGCAAUCCUGACCCCCGGAUGCUCAGCCAGCCCCGGAAAGGGGGCAGAUCGACUUGAUGGUUGCCGCUGGGUCGCACCAGGAGCUCGGGUUCACCUCAGCAUUAUUCCUCGGCCAAGUCUAUUCCUGCUAACUUGGAUUUUACCUCCUCUGGACGGGAAAAGGGAGCGCUGUUUGGACGCGCCUCCUCGCCUCCUCUCCGGAGGACCCGCCCGGUCACACCCAGGAGCUGGGCGAGCCAACCAGGCUCCAGGAGGGGUUUGUGCACACCCGCAUCAACCCGGAAUGGCCUGCAUGACUCAUGGAGGACCGAAGGUGGUGCGAACUCCUCACCGAGUAAACAACUCACAACCCUGUUCUUGCAUUUUUGUGCUCGCAGGGCUGGUGACGAGCCAGGGGCGUAGAUGCUUAUGGUUGGGAGCCUCCAGCUGCACUGGGGGGUUGGGGGGGGCAUUUCUCUCCUGGGAGGUUGAAGGAAGGGAGGAGGCAUUCCUUUCUCCUAGACCCCAGGUGCCAGUUCUUGUAGCUGUGCCCUGUCCCCUUUCAGGUUGUCAGGGACCCUUCUCUGGUCUUGUGUCUUAGGAACACGGUCUCUCGUUCUCCUCUCCUGCCUCCCAGUCUCAGUCUGGAAUGCACUCACUGCCCACCCGUCUAUUGGUUAAAAAACAAGUCUUGGGGCCCCUGGGUGGCUCAGUCGGUUGAGCGUGGGACUUAGCUCAGGUCAUGAUCUCACGGGUUCGUGAGUUCGAGCCCCACGUUGGGCUCUAUGCUGACAGCUCAGAGCCUGGAGCAGGUUUCGGAUUCUGUGUCUCCCUCUCUCUCUGCCCCUCCCCCACUCACGCUCGGUCUCUCUCUCUCUCUCUCUCUCUCUCAAAAAUAAAUGCUUAAAAUUAAAAAAAAACCAAAACAGUGUUUAUAAAAAAAAAAAAAACAAGUCUUGCAGGGGCCUGGGUGGCUCAGUUGGUUAAGCAUCCAACUUCCAGCUCAGGUCAUGAUCUCAUGGUUUGUGAGUUUGAGCCCCCCACCCCCACCCCCGCAUUGGGCUCUCUGUUUCUUAGCACACAGCCCGCGUUGGAUCCUCUGGCCCCCUCUCUCUACCCCCCCCCAAAAAAUAAACAUUAAAAAGAAAAUUUUAAAAACGGAAAACAAGUCUUGAACUUCACUGUCUCUUGGAAACGUUGCCUAUUUCCCAUCUCGCAACCUAAAUCAGAGUGACUUUCUCCCUCUUGGGUUCUGGGUCUGAAUUUUAUUAAUACUUUUAUUAUUCUAACAUGUUGUAACCGAUAUAUAUUUAUCUGUUCAACUCUCCCAUUAGAAGUUAACUUGAAAUGGAUCGAGAGAUCAAACAUAAGACCUGAAAUUUUAAAAUUCCUGGAAGAGUGGUGCUGGGUGGCUCGUUGGUUAAGUGUCCAGCUUCGGCUCAGGUCAUGAUCUCAUGGUUCGUGAAUUUGAGCCCCGUGUCAGGUUCUGUGCUGACAGCUCAGAGCCUGGAGCCUGCUUCAGAUCCUGUCUGUGUCUCUCUGCCCCUCUCCUGCUUGCUAACUCGCGUGCGUGCUCUCUCUCUCAAAUAUAAAUAAACAUUAUUUAUUUUACAUUUAUUAAUUUUUGAGAGACAGAGCACAAGUGGGGGACAGGCAGAGAGAGAAUGAGACACAGAAUCUGAGGCAGGCUCCAGGCUCCGAGCUGUCAGCACAGAGCCCGACGCGGGGCUCGGACUCACGAACCGUGAGAUCAUGACCUGAGCCGAAGUCGGACGCUUAACCGACUGAGCCACCCAGGUGCCCCAAGUUUUCUGUUCCUUUUUAAAAAGCUUUUGACGGGUGCCUGGGUGGGUCAGUCAGUUAAGUGUCUGGCUUCAGUUCAGAUCAUGAUCUCAUGGUUUCUGAGUUCAAGUCCUGCUCAGUGUAGAGCCUGCUUCAGAUCCUCUGUCUCCCUCUCUCUACUCCUCCCCCACUCUCUUUCUCUCUCUCUCUCUCAAAAAUAAACAUUAAAAACAUUUUUUGAGAUAGAUACUAACCUUAUUGUUUUUCAGCCUACUUUUUCAAAUAUGUGCACUGAAGACUGUGAAUUUCCCUCCAAGCCCAGAUUUAACCAAAGUCCCCACGUUUUUAUUUUUUGUGAAGUUGUAUUAAAGCAUGACAUGUGCGCAAGAAAGUGCCCGGUAUUAAAUAUACAGGUUGAUGAAUUAUCCCAAAGUAAACACACCUGUAACCAGCUGAUAACCACACUUGUAACCCAAAUCAAGAAACAGCUAUUAGUUAUUUCAAAGCUUGAGUCUCAUAAUAUUGCCUGUUCCUUUAAAGUUCAUGCCGGAUCAUUCCAACACCUGAAUCACUUAUAGGUUCGUCUCUCUUUUCUGUUUUUCAGUUGUUUGGUCACGUAUCUUGGCAUUCCUGUUUUUUUUUUUUUUUAUUGAACACUCAACACUCUUUGUGAAAAUCGUAGAGGUCUUGGUAGUCGUUAUCCAUAGAGGAUUUCAUUUACUUUCGUCAUCAGUUAAUGAUGGCUGAGGGUGGUCUAUUUUCAGUUUGCAUUUAUUCUUAGGAUGUAGCCAUUUCAGGGAUCUGAGCUGAAAACUCGGGGUCUUUACUAGUGCCCUUCCCUUUCAGCAGGCCUUCUGAUUCAUUUUGGCUCCCAGCACCUAACACCGCCCAGACUUCUGCUCUUCUGUGGUCGGCAAGUUCCUCAAGUGGGUCUCAGGGGGCUCAAUGUCUGUGCUCCCUUUUCUCUAGGGAGAAACCACCCCUUAAGCCUUGGUUGUUUGGGGGGAAUUCAACCCAGUGUUUUUGUCUCCCAGCUCAGUGUGCCCGUUCAAAACUCUAUGAUAUUGCUUUGUGUUUGUCAUCCACGACCCAGUGAUGAUUCAGCAAAUGCCAAAGGUCCAAUGUAGGGGGAUGUAUGGCCAACUUCACUAUGAGUUAACAGUGCAGAGCCCGCUUGGGGUUCUCUCUCUCUCCCUCUCUCUCUACCCCUCCCCUGCUCGAAUGCCUCUCUCUGUCUCUCUGUCUCUCAAAAUAAAUCAACUUAAAAGAUGGGGCGCCUGGGGACUCAGUGAGUUGGGUGUCCGACUUCGGCUCAGGUCAUGAUCUCAUGGUCUGUGGGUUCGAGCCCCACGUCGGGCCCUGUGCUGACAGCUCGGAGCCUGGAGCCUGCUUCAGAUUCUGUGUCUCCGUCUCUCUCUGCCCCUCCCCAAUUCCCACUCUGCCUCUCUCUCAAAAAUAAAUAAACUUUAAACAAAAUUUAAAAAGAAAUGAAAAGAUCUACGUCCUGAUUUCAGUGGCUCAGAUAGUUGUAAUGAUAGGAUAUUUCAGGAUUAGCUUGUCCCCUCUGUGAAUUGUGAGGUGGGCUUUUCAGAUUGGACGUAGUCUCCUUGGGCACUAUAGCUACAUGAAUAUGCACCUUGUCCUAACUUAUGCUUAUGCAUUCUGUUCUGUGUGUGUGUGUGUUAUUUUUUUUUUUUUGAAAAUGUUCAGAGUCCUAGAACAGUUCAAAGUUAUACAAUGAACACUUCCAUACUCUUCACAUGGAUUUGACUGUUUACAUUAUGCCAGAGUUGAUUUCUCUCUUUCUCUUCCUUCCCAGAUACACACACACACACACACACACACACACACGCACACUUUUUGAACCAUUUGAAAGAUGCACACACCAUAAUACUUCAGUCCUCAACACUUUAGCAUGUUUUUCCUAAGAACCAGGACAUUUUCUUCCGUAACCACAAUACCACAAUAAUACACCCCCAAAUUUAACAUUGAUACAAUAAUAUUAUCUAAUGUUCCGUCCCUAUUUGUAUUUUCCCAGUUGUCUUAAUAAUGCGCUUUAUGGUUGCUGUUGGGUUUUUUCUUUGUAAAUGAUUGGGACCCUUUUCAGGAUUACACUUGGCAUUUAAUUGUCUUAGUCCUUCAGUCUUCCUUAGUGUAGAGCAGUCUCCGUAUUUUUUUGUUUCUUUCACGACACUGAUAUUUUUGAAGUGGCUGGGCCGGUUACCUUAUAGAAGGUUCCAUGCUGGAUUUGUCUGAUUGUCGCCUCGUGGUGUUUUGAGUCAAAUAUUUGUACCAGGAAUGUAAUGUUACACAGACGAUGCUCUGUCUCUUUCGUUGCGUCUUAUCAGGAGGUCCAUGAUGUCAGUUCUGUAUCCUGAUACAAUGUCACUGCUGCCACUGAAACAGAAGAGACGAAUGUUCUGGAAUGAAAUGUACUUAGGAGUUGGGGAAUCCGUUAAGAAGACAAAGACUCGUUUCUCAAGGCUGCCAGGACUGAUGCUACAGGAGCCGGUCAAUUUGUAUUGCUUAAGCCACAGCUUGGCUCUUCUUACGGGUAGAGGGUGGCAGGUAGUAUGAAAAUGAAGGACAUGCCCCUCCUCCCUAAGGCACCUCCUAGCACAAGAGAGACGCUAACAUGUAUGAAAGAAUUUUCCAGUGUGAUGGGAGAGAAUAUUUUUCAGCUUAGGACCAGAACCCAGAUGUGAGCAUGGCAAGAAUAGUGACUCAGGGGGUUGGUAAUUGGCACAGACCCCACUCUCCAUGUUUUGAUUUUCACUGCUUCCCAGUAUGUACUUACGAUUCUAAUUACGUCUGUUUCCUCCUUGCCUUCCACAUUCACUGUAGUCAUUCACAUUUCUAUUCCCUCCCUCAUGUUGACUCACCGGAGCCCUACCCUGCACUGCCC
This 9365-nucleotide long non-coding RNA is filed under the name Lynx pardinus (Iberian lynx). The record is from RNAcentral. Lineage: Eukaryota; Metazoa; Chordata; Mammalia; Carnivora; Felidae.